CAGUCGCCGCGGUAAUACAGAGGGUGCAAGCGUUAAUCGGAUUUACUGGGCGUAAAGCGUGCGUAGGCGGCUUUUUAAGUCGGAUGUGAAAUCCCUGAGCUUAACUUAGGAAUUGCAUUCGAUACUGGGAAGCUAGAGUAUGGGAGAGGAUGGUAGAAUUCCAGGUGUAGCGGUGAAAUGCGUAGAGAUCUGGAGGAAUACCGAUGGCGAAGGCAGCCAUCUGGCCUAAUACUGACGCUGAGGUACGAAAGCAUGGGGAGCAAACAGGAUUAGAUACCCGUGUAGUCCCUGUCUCUUAUAC
Molecule: ribosomal RNA, 301 nt
Filed under: uncultured bacterium
Lineage: Bacteria
Description: partial 16S ribosomal RNA
Rfam family: Bacterial small subunit ribosomal RNA
Source: RNAcentral